Molecule: ribosomal RNA, 68 nt
Filed under: Escherichia coli O118:H16 str. 08-3651
Lineage: Bacteria; Pseudomonadati; Pseudomonadota; Gammaproteobacteria; Enterobacterales; Enterobacteriaceae
Description: partial 16S ribosomal RNA
Rfam family: Bacterial small subunit ribosomal RNA
Source: RNAcentral
UUAAAUUGAAGAGUUUGAUCAUGGCUCAGAUUGAACGCUGGCGGCAGGCCUAACACAUGCAAGGCGAA